GAAUUCGAUUCAGGCCUAACACAUGCAAGUCGAGCGGAAGAAGUAGCUUGCUACUGAUUCAGCGGCGGACGGGUGAGUAAUGCCUAGGAAUCUGCCUGGUAGUGGGGGACAACGUUUCGAAAGGAACGCUAAUACCGCAUACGUCCUACGGGAGAAAGUGGGGGACCCUCGGGCCUCACGCUAUCAGAUGAGCCUAGGUCGGAUUAGCUAGUUGGUGGGGUAAUGGCUCACCAAGGCGACGAUCCGUAACUGGUCUGAGAGGAUGAUCAGUCACACUGGAACUGAGACACGGUCCAGACUCCUACGGGAGGCAGCAGUGGGGAAUAUUGUACAAGGGGCGCAAGCCUGAUCCAGCCAUGCCGCG
This 364-nucleotide ribosomal RNA is filed under the name uncultured bacterium. Its description in RNAcentral is "bacterial SSU rRNA". It matches the Rfam family "Bacterial small subunit ribosomal RNA", at positions 43 to 396 of the family's 1533-position model. The record is from RNAcentral.